Molecule: ribosomal RNA, 468 nt
Filed under: uncultured bacterium
Lineage: Bacteria
Description: partial 16S ribosomal RNA
Rfam family: Bacterial small subunit ribosomal RNA
Source: RNAcentral
GACGAACGCUGGCGGCGUGCUUAACACAUGCAAGUCGAACGGAAAGGCCCUGCUUUUGUGGGCUGCCCGAGUGGCGAACGGGUGAGUAACACGUGAGUAACCUGCCCUUGACUUUGGGAUAACUUCAGGAAACGGGGGCUAAUACCGGAUAGGAGCUCCUGCUGCAUGGUGGGGGUUGGAAAGUUUCGGCGGUUGGGGAUGGACUCGCGGCUUAUCAGUUUGUGGGUGGGGUAGUGGCUUACCAAGGCUUUGACGGGUAGCCGGCCUGAGAGGGUGACCGGCCACAUUGGGACUGAGAUGCGGCCCAGACGCCUACGGGAGGCAGCAGUGGAAAAUAUUGCACAAUGGGCGGAAGCCUGAUGCAGCAACGCCGCGUGCGGGAUGACGGCCUUCGGGUUAUAAACCGCUUUCGCCUGUGACGAAGCGUGAGUGACGGUAAUGGGUAAAGAAGCACCGGCUAACUACGUG